UGCAACAGGGGAAGCAUCGAUCCUCGGACCGAUUUCCGGUCGCCGAGUGGGUCCAGAACCCGCGCGUCCGAGGGGAGCGAGUGGCGAGACCGACCCCAGGUCCG
This 104-nucleotide non-coding RNA is filed under the name unclassified sequences. The record is from Rfam.